AGUGAACGCUGGCGGUAUGCCUAACACAUGCAAGUCGAACGGCAGCACAGUAAGAGCUUGCUCCUACGGUUGGCGACGGGCGGACGGGUGAGGAAUACAUCAGAAUCUACUUUUUCUUGGGGGACAUCGUGAGGAAACUUACGCUAAUACCUCAUACGAUCUACGGCUUAAAUCAGUAGUUCUUCGGACCUUUCGCGAUUCAAUUAGCCGAUGCCGGAUUUGAUAGUUGGCGGGGUAAAGGCCCACCAAGGCGACGCUCCGUAGCUGGUCUGAGAGGAUGAGCAGGCACACUGGGAAUGUGACACGGUCCAGACUCCUACGGGAGGAAGCAGUGGGGAAUAUUGGACAAUGGGCGCAAGCCUGAUCCAGCCAUACCGCGUGGGUGAAGAAGGCCUUCGGGUUUUAAAGCCCUUUUGUUGGGAAAGAAAAGCAGCAGGUUAAUACCCCGCUGUUCUGACGGUACCCAAAGAAUAAGCACCGGCUAACUUCGUG
Molecule: ribosomal RNA, 492 nt
Filed under: uncultured bacterium
Lineage: Bacteria
Description: partial 16S ribosomal RNA
Rfam family: Bacterial small subunit ribosomal RNA
Source: RNAcentral